RNAcentral lists this unclassified non-coding RNA (352 nucleotides) under soil metagenome. RNAcentral's name for it is "partial contains 5.8S ribosomal RNA, internal transcribed spacer 2, and large subunit ribosomal RNA". The stretch from base 1 to 120 matches the Rfam family "5.8S ribosomal RNA", at positions 35 to 154 of the family's 154-position model. The record is from RNAcentral.
GAUGAAGAACGCAGCGAAAUGCGAUAAGUAAUGUGAAUUGCAGAAUUCAGUGAAUCAUCGAAUCUUUGAACGCACAUUGCGCCCGCCAGUAUUCUGGCGGGCAUGCCUGUUCGAGCGUCAUUACAACCCUCAGGCCCCCGGGCCUGGCGUUGGGGAUCGGCGGAGCCCCCCGUGGGCACACGCCGUCCCCCAAAUACAGUGGCGGUCCCGCCGCAGCUUCCAUCGCGUAGUAGCUAACACCUCGCGACUGGAGAGCGGCGCGGCCACGCCAUAAAACACCCAACUCUUCUGAAGUUGACCUCGAAUCAGGUAGGAAUACCCGCUGAACUUAAGCAUAUCAAUAAGCGGAGGA